This 343-nucleotide unclassified non-coding RNA is filed under the name soil metagenome. Its description in RNAcentral is "partial contains 5.8S ribosomal RNA, internal transcribed spacer 2, and large subunit ribosomal RNA". The stretch from base 1 to 120 matches the Rfam family "5.8S ribosomal RNA", at positions 35 to 154 of the family's 154-position model. The record is from RNAcentral.
GAUGAAGAACGUAGCGAAAUGCGAUAAGUAAUGUGUAUUGCAGAAUUCAGUGAAUCAUCGAAUCUUUGAACGCACAUUGCGCCCGCCAGCAUUCUGGCGGGCAUGCCUGUUCGAGCGUCAUUUCAACCCUCGAGCCCCCCCGGGGGCCUCGGUGUUGGGGGACGGCACACCAGCCGCCCCCGAAAUGCAGUGGCGACCCCGCCGCAGCCUCCCCUGCGUAGUAGCACACACCUCGCACCGGAGCGCGGAGGCGGUCACGCCGUAAAACGCCCAACUUUCUUAGAGUUGACCUCGGAUCAGGUAGGAAUACCCGCUGAACUUAAGCAUAUCAAUAAGCGGAGGA